This 116-nucleotide ribosomal RNA is filed under the name Carlito syrichta (Philippine tarsier). The record is from RNAcentral. Lineage: Eukaryota; Metazoa; Chordata; Mammalia; Primates; Tarsiidae.
GUCUAUGGCCAUACCACCCUGAACAUGAUGCUUUUCUGAUUUCAGAAGCCAAGCAGAAUGGGGCCUGGUUAGUACUUCGAUGGGAGACCUCCUGGGAAAACCUGGUGUUAUAGGUU